Molecule: long non-coding RNA, 388 nt
Organism: Lemur catta (Ring-tailed lemur)
Lineage: Eukaryota; Metazoa; Chordata; Mammalia; Primates; Lemuridae
Exons: 3
Source: RefSeq, a predicted model, not a curated record
AACUCCCCAGGGGAUUCUCAUGUGUAGCAGAGUGUGAGAACCUCUGAUCUAAGCAGAGUGGGGUGAAUGUUUACUGGGUUUCCUUUCAUUGGUUUUAGUUGUGAGCAACAGACUGACAAGCGGGACACAGGCUUCAAGGGCAAUGCCAGAAAACACGCGGCCAAGUGCAUGGAAUACAAGGCGAGCGGAAAGAAGCCUGAGACCCAGGUUCCCAGCCUGUGCCAGAUGCUUCAUGUUUGUUACUUAACAACCAAUCCCAGGAGGAAAUCCUGCUGGGCCUGGAAGAAAUGUCAGUGUGGGAAGAUCUCCAGCAAGACAUCUCCAUAAAUCUUUUCCUGUUUUCCGCUUGAAAGACCAGAUUUGAAAGAGUCAGGAGCGGCGGCCGCGG